UUAGUUCAACAUCUGUGCAAAAUGCAGCAGUAAUCACCACUUUCUUCUAAAAAAGAACAGCUUUCACUGUUCUUCUGUUUAUUCAACAGCUCAUUUCAGAGUUCUCCUUGACACUUAGUUCUCAUGUCUGCCCUAGAGGUUUUGAACACAUUUUUUCCCAUAGGAACAUUUGCCUACACCUAACAUUACGAGCUGCAGCGUGCUGGGAGGGCUGAGCACGCUGCUCUUUCUGUUAGUGGUGUGCCAUUUUGCAGGAAAGAAUAAAACAGUUGUUAGAGUACUAGCAAGUAGGAAGCUGAAACGUGAUCGUUAUGGCAGCCACCUGCAGACAUCCAGUUUCCAGAGCCUGUUGCAGAGACUGAUUAUACAUUUCACUAAGACUGGACAAAGUUGCUUUGCCCUUCAAAACUAAUAUGCAUAAUCUGAUCUAGGCAACUUAUUUCUACACGUUCUUUUUUUCCCCCCAACCUCUCUGAUUUCAUUUGACAGUUUCUCAUUUUUAUUAACUCUCGUGAACGGGUAUCUUCUAAACUCCUCUCUGAAAGCUCAUUUUGAAAGGAAUCCAGACAUUUCAGAACCAUUACUUCCUCCUAUCAGACAGUUGGGUAAAACAAGGAGUUUGGGAAAAUCUUUAAGCCUCAGAUACUGGACAAGAUGUUGUGCAGGCACGAUGGACUAGUCAAGGACUGCUAAAGCACAAAUGUAAAAGCUGGGCUGACCUUUCCCUUCCCAUGAGAAGGUAAGUGGCAGGCAGAGGGCAGGCAUAUUUCCUUGAGCAGCAAGUACUUAUCCCAGGUCAUCCCAGUACCUCAUAGAUGGCAAACACCGUAUUGCAAAUGAAACCACUACAGGGCUAUCCCAACUAGAGGAAGCAGCAGAUAAUCUAGUAUGCUCAAAAGAGCUGGAUAUGGCCACAGAGGGAGGCUUCAGGUCUUAGCUCUUCAUCUUCUGUCAUAGCUCUAGCAUAGCUUGUGUUUCCACUGUGGAGAUUGCGGAGAGUGUUGACAGCAUGGGGUGGAAGAGCAGAUGACAGCUAAAAGAGGACUAAAGUUUCUUUCCCCUUUCAGUCCCAGUAACUCCACAGAUGAAUGUAGUAAAU
RNAcentral lists this long non-coding RNA (1099 nucleotides) under Dromaius novaehollandiae (emu). Its description in RNAcentral is "lncRNA (ENSDNVG00000012577.1)". The record is from RNAcentral. Lineage: Eukaryota; Metazoa; Chordata; Aves; Casuariiformes; Dromaiidae.